RNAcentral lists this microRNA precursor (183 nucleotides) under Oryza nivara. RNAcentral describes it as "MIR812 microRNA precursor family". It matches the Rfam family "MIR812 microRNA precursor family". The record is from Rfam by way of RNAcentral. Lineage: Eukaryota; Viridiplantae; Streptophyta; Magnoliopsida; Poales; Poaceae.
CUUAAGCAAAAUCAUGAAUUUUCGUGUCCAACUUUAAUUAUCUAUCCUAUUAAAAAUUAUUAGUAUUUUUAUUAUAAAACAUGAGUAAUAUUUUAUACGCCACGACUUAUGUUUUUAAAUUUUUUUUAAGAAAAUAAGACGGACACUUAAAGUUAAACAUGAGAACUCAUGAUUGCUUUUGAA